This 107-nucleotide small nuclear RNA is filed under the name Castor canadensis (American beaver). Lineage: Eukaryota; Metazoa; Chordata; Mammalia; Rodentia; Castoridae. The record is from RNAcentral.
GUGCUCACUUUGGUGGCACAUAUACUAAAAUUGGAACAUAUAGAGAAGAUUAGCAUGGCCCCUUCAUAAGGAUGACGUAUAAAUUCAUAAAGAAAGAGUUAAUCUGU